RNAcentral lists this ribosomal RNA (704 nucleotides) under uncultured bacterium. RNAcentral describes it as "bacterial SSU rRNA". It matches the Rfam family "Bacterial small subunit ribosomal RNA", at positions 159 to 879 of the family's 1533-position model. The record is from RNAcentral.
ACUGGUAAUACCGCAUAAGCCCACAGCUCGGCAUCGAGCAGAGGGAAAAGGAGCAAUCCGCUUUGAGAUGGCCUCGCGUCCGAUUAGCUAGUUGGUGAGGUAACGGCCCACCAAGGCGACGAUCGGUAGCCGGACUGAGAGGUUGAACGGCCACAUUGGGACUGAGACACGGCCCAGACUCCUACGGGAGGCAGCAGUGGGGAAUAUUGCACAAUGGGGGAAACCCUGAUGCAGCGACGCCGCGUGGAGGAAGAAGGUCUUCGGAUUGUAAACUCCUGUUGUUGAGGAAGAUAAUGACGGUACUCAACAAGGAAGUGACGGCUAACUACGUGCCAGCAGCCGCGGUAAAACGUAGGUCACAAGCGUUGUCCGGAAUUACUGGGUGUAAAGGGAGCGCAGGCGGGCGAUCAAGUUGGAAGUGAAAUCCAUGGGCUCAACCCAUGAACUGCUUUCAAAACUGAUUGUCUUGAGUAGUGCAGAGGUAGGCGGAAUUCCCGGUGUAGCGGUGGAAUGCGUAGAUAUCGGGAGGAACACCAGUGGCGAAGGCGGCCUACUGGGCACCAACUGACGCUGAGGCUCGAAAGUGUGGGUAGCAAACAGGAUUAGAUACCCUGGUAGUCCACACCGUAAACGAUGAUUACUAGGUGUUGGAGGAUUGACCCCUUCAGUGCCGCAGUUAACACAAUAAGUAAUCCACCUGGGGA